RNAcentral lists this ribosomal RNA (253 nucleotides) under uncultured bacterium. RNAcentral describes it as "partial 16S ribosomal RNA". It matches the Rfam family "Bacterial small subunit ribosomal RNA", at positions 524 to 776 of the family's 1533-position model. The record is from RNAcentral.
UACAGAGGGGGCAAGCGUUGUUCGGAAUUACUGGGCGUAAAGGGCGCGUAGGCGGCCGCCUAAGUCAGACGUGAAAUCCCUCGGCUCAACCGGGGAACUGCGUCUGAUACUGGAUGGCUUGAGUUUGGGAGAGGGACGCGGAAUUCCAGGUGUAGCGGUGAAAUGCGUAGAUAUCUGGAGGAACACCGGUGGCGAAGGCGGCGUCCUGGACCAACACUGACACUGAUGAGCGAAAGCCAGGGGAGCAAACGGG